CAUGCCUACGGGAGGCAGCAGUGGGGGAUAUUGCACAAUGGGGGAAACCCUGAUGCAGCGACGCCGCGUGAGUGAAGAAGUAAUUCGUUACGUAAAGCUCUAUCAGCAGGGAAGAAAAUGACGGUACCUGACUAAGAAGCCCCGGCUAACUACGUGCCAGCAGCCGCGGUAAUACGUAGGGGGCAAGCGUUAUCCGGAAUUACUGGGUGUAAAGGGAGCGCAGACGGCAGUGCAAGUCUGGAGUGAAACGCAUGAGCUCAACUCAUGCAUGGCUUUGGAAACUGGAGGACUGGAGAGCAGGAGAG
This 305-nucleotide ribosomal RNA is filed under the name uncultured bacterium. RNAcentral describes it as "bacterial SSU rRNA". It matches the Rfam family "Bacterial small subunit ribosomal RNA", at positions 334 to 656 of the family's 1533-position model. The record is from RNAcentral.